Molecule: non-coding RNA, 2216 nt
Organism: Meleagris gallopavo (turkey)
Lineage: Eukaryota; Metazoa; Chordata; Aves; Galliformes; Phasianidae
Source: RefSeq, a predicted model, not a curated record
CCCUCCUUUGGAGUUUUACAGCGAGUCCAGGACAAGGGGAUGCAGGAGGGAGGAUGGUCCAAACUGCACCUGUACUAUUGCUGCUGAAGACAGGAUUUAGGAAAGAAAAAUUUCUGGCAAACUCUGAUGAGGAAGAAAAACAUAUGCUACCCACCUGUGCAAGGCAGUACAGAAUCAAUAUCCUGAGGCAAUUGCAGUUCUCAUCUGUUUCAGGUGGAUGGAGAUAUGCAGUUUGGAAUCAAACUUCCUCAGAGAAUGCUGUCCUUGAAAUAUUUUUGAAGACCUUGGAAUAAGCUUCUGAAGAUCUGCACCUUCUCAAGCCUAUUCAUCUCUAAGAGAGGAUGAAAAUGAAACCCUGUGCUCAGACUUAUUGCUCAGAACUCUAAGCCUCAAAUUGGAAAUCAUAUUGAAACCACAAGUUCAGAUCCAAGCAAGACUAAUUUAUUCUCUUCUUUCUCUUGCCCUAAAUGCUCAAAUGCUGUUUUUCUUUUUAGAAAUAGAUCCUAAAUCAGUAAAACUAAGGCAGUAUAAAUCUUUUGUAUGUGAGAGGAGACUUAAAAUAAUUUUAUUUCCAUUUUCGUUUUUUAGAAGAGGCUUCAAAAGCUUGGUAAGCAAAAUGCUGCAGUGGCAUUUAGUGAUGAUAAGGUGAAUGAUGCUACAUUUCAGGAGUAGACAAAGGCACACCUGAAAUGUCUUGAGAGGAGUGAAAACCCUCAGUACUUCCAGGGUGGGUGGGUGUGGCUCUAUGUGAAAAAUCAGUGAAGAGAGAGAAGUGGCUGAUUCAAAUAGAAUCAGUUUGAGACUUAAAAAGGCCAUUCAGAGUUAGCUGUGGUACCAAAAUUGUUUUGUAAAUGUUCCCAGUGUGUGGCCCCAGGUUAAGGUCUGUAGGCUUUUCAUCUUAGUUCUGUACACAGUACACUUGGUGCCGAUGAGAGUGGUAAGAUAAAUGGCUAUUUAUUUCAGUUUACCAGAGCUAAUCCAUCAUGGUGCAUGUAGCAAUUGCAUUUCUGCACUCCAAAAAGCUUUUAUUUCUAGAGAUGAAAUAAAUAAAUAAGUAGAUGUAGGGAGCUCUCUUUCUCAGUCUUUUCUCCCUGCCUGAUGUGUAAUAAAUGUUUGUUUAUUUUGUUAAAAGUCCAUAAUUUGAAAAUUGCUGUAUUUAGCCCCUAGCCCAUUGCCAGCAUCAAGUGACUGAUAAUGGCAUUGUUCUGGCUGCCAGGAAAUAAAAAUCAGGAUUUCUUUUGAUUUCUUGAUUAAUUGCAAACAAAUGUUUUUCUUCUUAUAGCUCAGCAAAGACAUCACUUCAGAUUGGAAAGGUGGGACCUUUGCUAGUUCCUAUUAGUACCUUUCUGUUGGGAUUGAUUUUUUCUUUUUUGAUGGUUCAGCAAAAUAAAUGAAAAAAUGAUUAAUACUUCAUCAUCUGAAGUUCUCUCUGUACUGGUUAAUAAUUCAACCUAUCCAUUUUAUAUUUGCUCUAGUUUCUCUGCAACUUUCUGCUCAUAUUUCCAGAAAGCUUUGUUUGAUUUUUUUUUUGUUGUUGUUGUUUAUGGUGGAUAUAAAGGCUUUACCAAAGACAAGAUCUGCUCUUUUGUCAGUCAUCUUAGGCAAAUUAGCUGCUUUAAUUCCUAAGAAGACACAAUGACCUAUUUGUCUAUUCUGUAUGCUAUUGCAUAUCAUUAAACCAUUUUGUAGUCUUUACCAUUUCUUUGUCUAGUUAGGUGUAGAUUUUUGUUUGCUGUUGUUAUUUGAUUUGUAUUUAAAAUAUGUUUCUAAUCCUAACACUUUAUUUCCACUUGAUAUUCCAACAAAAGAAAACUACUGAGGACACGUAUUUUUUUUUUUUCUUCUGGAAUUAAAAGAUGGUACAGAGGGAGAGAGGAAAAACCCAUAAACAACAAUACUCUUUCUACAAUACUUCCUCAUACUUUUCUUAAUAAAUGUUAUGAAAGCUCAAAGUAUGUUAAAAUAUUGGAAUCAAAAACCUUUCUGCCUUGAGUCUGGCAGGAGGUGACACCACUACGUUUGAAGAGCACAACUAUGUUUUUAAUUGUUACUGAAGUCUCAAAUUAUAUUGUACAUCUGAAGGAUCUCUUCUAUUGCAUGGUUGUUCUUUCCAAAGCAAAAUAGCAUCUAUUUUCUGUAAUUCGUCUUUGAUUUUCUUAUGAUGCACUCUCACCAAAAUAUUUUAUGCAGGUUACACUGAAAAUGUUAUAUCACAA